Molecule: ribosomal RNA, 272 nt
Filed under: uncultured prokaryote
Description: partial 16S ribosomal RNA
Rfam family: Bacterial small subunit ribosomal RNA
Source: RNAcentral
UACGUAGGUGGCAAGCGUUAUCCGGAAUUAUUGGGCGUAAAGAGCGCGCAGGUGGUUGAUUAAGUCUGAUGUGAAAACUCCGGGCUCAACUUGGAGAUUGCAUUUGAAACUGGGUAUCUUGAGGACAGGAGAGGAAAGCGGAAUUCCUAGUGUAGCGGUGAAAUGCGUAGAUAUUAGGAGGAACACCAGUGGCGAAGGCGGCUUUCUGGCCAGUUACUGACGCUCAUGCGCGAAAGCUGGGGUAGCGAACCGGAUUAGAUACCCCGGUAGGU